CUUGCUCCGGUGUCCUUAGUGGCAGACGGGAGAGUAACGCGUGGGAAUUUGCCCGAUAGUACGGAAUAACCAUUGGAAACGAUGGCUAAUACCGUAUACGCCCUCCGGGGGAAAGAUUUAUCGCUAUCGGAUAAGCCCGCGUCGGAUUAGCUAGUUGGUGGGGUAAAAGCUCACCAAGGCGACGAUCCGUAGCUGGUCUGAGAGGACGAUCAGCCUCACUGGGACUGAGACACGGCCCAGACUCCUACGGGAGGCAGCAGUGGGGAAUAUUGGACAAUGGGGGCAACCCUGAUCCAGCCAUGCCGCGUGAGUGAAGAAGGCCCUAGGGUUGUAAAGCUCUUUCAGCAGGGAAGAUGAUGACGGUACCUGCAGAAGAAGCCCCGGCCAACUCCGUGCCAGCAGCCGCGGUAAU
RNAcentral lists this ribosomal RNA (412 nucleotides) under uncultured Alphaproteobacteria bacterium. RNAcentral describes it as "bacterial SSU rRNA". It matches the Rfam family "Bacterial small subunit ribosomal RNA", at positions 79 to 524 of the family's 1533-position model. The record is from RNAcentral. Lineage: Bacteria; Pseudomonadati; Pseudomonadota; Alphaproteobacteria.